RNAcentral lists this ribosomal RNA (313 nucleotides) under uncultured Enterobacteriaceae bacterium. RNAcentral's name for it is "bacterial SSU rRNA". It matches the Rfam family "Bacterial small subunit ribosomal RNA", at positions 1064 to 1382 of the family's 1533-position model. The record is from RNAcentral. Lineage: Bacteria; Pseudomonadati; Pseudomonadota; Gammaproteobacteria; Enterobacterales; Enterobacteriaceae.
GUUGUGAAUGUGGUUAAGUCCCGCAACGAGCACAACCCUUAUCCUUGUGCCAGCGGUCCGGCCGGGAACUCAAAGGAGACUGCCAGUGAUAAACUGGAGGAAGGUGGGGAUGACGUCAAGUCAUCAUGGCCCUUACGACCAGGGCUACACACGUGCUACAAUGGCGCAUACAAAGAGAAGCGACCUCGCGAGAGCAAGCGGACCUCAUAAAGUGCGUCGUAGUCCGGAUUGGAGUCUGCAACUCGACUCCAUGAAGUCGGAAUCGCUAGUAAUCGUGGAUCAGAAUGCCACGGUGAAUACGUUCCCGGGCCUU